RNAcentral lists this unclassified non-coding RNA (695 nucleotides) under Hevea brasiliensis (rubber tree). The record is from RNAcentral. Lineage: Eukaryota; Viridiplantae; Streptophyta; Magnoliopsida; Malpighiales; Euphorbiaceae.
GUACACAGACCUUACUAUGCCUUGCAGGUCAAACUGCUUAUACUACCAAAUCUCAUGAUGAGAGCCCCAGUUGUAUGGAGUUUCCUUUACGUCAAAAUCCUCAAUUUUUUUACAUAAGUCCAAGUGAUUUCAGCUGCUGAACAUGCUCUGGUGGCAGAGCUGGCGGAGACCAAUCAUUUCCGUUGACCUCACCAUCGACAUCCUCCACAACAUAUUCCUUUGUCAACAUUCUUUUUGCAAGUAUAUGGUAAUGCCUCUGCCAUAUUCUCUGUCCAACCAUUGUAGCAACCAAAACACUAUAAAAUAUGCCGAUGACGGUAAAUAGUCCUAGCACAAUCAAAGCCAUUAUAAGUACUAGCGGCAACCCAGCUUCACCGGCACCUCCUAAGCAACCUCCACAUUCACUGGCCGCACCAGCACAACUUUCAAAGCAUGUUGUGCAAUCAGUCCACAUACAAAGUGUACCAGGCAAAUGACAGUCUGCACACAUUCCAGGAUGACAACAGCAAAGGCAUAAUUCGCGGCAGGGUUGAGCCAAAUCAUUGCGCACUCUUCGAUCAUAACAGGUGAUGAAGCAACCAGAUAAGCCUAGCAGAGCGAAAAAUAAAAGUGCCCCGCAUAGAUAGUAGAAGCUUAGUUCGCUAUCAAACCCCCAAGUAAAACGCAACCAAGACUUAUGGUGGGUGUCAAUCAAG